CCAUGCGAGUGCUAGCAUCCACUAA
RNAcentral lists this unclassified non-coding RNA (25 nucleotides) under Mus musculus (house mouse). RNAcentral describes it as "oocyte_clustered_small_RNA4003". Lineage: Eukaryota; Metazoa; Chordata; Mammalia; Rodentia; Muridae. The record is from RNAcentral.